AAUCUAUUUUUUCAGAAAAAAUUAGAGGAAAGCAAAGUAGUGUUUUUCUAUCCGCAUUUUAAGUGAAAUGUUUGAUUUUUGUUUCAGAUGUCAAGCGAUUCGCCGAAUCUCGUAAGCAUCCUCCCGCCAAAGCGAGUUAUCAUGAGUGCUAUCGUGAACGCCAUAAGUACAAUCCGAUGGAAAUCCGUCAGUAUCAUAACCAAUUCAGAUGAAAACUGGUGGUCGGAUCUAGCCUUCCGUCUCGGUUUUGCAAUCAAAGCAGCCAAUCGAACUCUAGUCAAAAAUUUAUCUUCCUCACAAGAAAUGACUCUCAGGAAUUGUUGGAACGAAACAUUUCAAAAUUAAAACUAUCAAUCAAUACCGGUGUGAUCCUCUGCAUGCCGUUCGGCGAGGCCCUGUCGCAGCGGCUCUUCAAAUCCCUGGCCCGGCGAGGGGCGCUCCCAGCCUCGGUCCUCCUCCUGGACCUCUUGGCCGACUCCCCGCAGCCGCACCUCCGCCUCGCCUUCGACCACCGGGGUAGGCAACCCGCCGAUGCCGACCCCGUCCGUUCCCCGGCGACCAACGCGAGCAGCGGAACCCCCGUAUCCAAUAGCAAUAUUCCUUACCCUCCCCCGUCUCCGGACGUCCUCGAGUUCUUCAGGAGGAUCCAUGGCGGCCUCCUGGUUUUUACCACCAGUGAUCUCGUCGGGCUCCGAUCGAGCUCGAGCGAGUUAGAGUACCUGUUCAAAAGCUCUCUGAAAGCGGUGAUAAAUGUGACCCAGUUCUCGGAGAGCCAUAGAUUCCAUUUCGUAGUGGCGGAUGUAAAUAAAACCCUAGCGGACAAACCCAGUGCAAUUAGUUGGCGCCCCGUUAUUAGCAUAAACUGCGUUUUCAAAAACUGCGCCACCAGAGAUUAUGUCCAGUUCAAGACCGAAUUCCUGAUUCCGAACGCGACGGCCUGGAUUCGACGGAUAUCACACUGGAACGUUGCUAGCCAUCAUCAUGCCGGCGCAACCUGUGAUGACGUCACUUUUUGCAUAGAAAGCAGUGGUGAUUUUUUUCGCGAGGAGCAGUAUGGUGCUCUUUUAAUGGGCAUUGUCUCAUGUGCAGUGUUUGUGGCCUUGUCGGUUGUCUGCUGUUUUGCCAGGAGACAAUAUUUAAGAUCUAAAACUGCCAAAGGUCCUGUGAAGAUUUUGCUUACCCCCGCAGACUUUGUCUUCCCAAUUGUGCAAGAUGCGAAUGGCUUACAGGAGUUGGGGACAGGGAGCGCUUCGAUCGCCGAGAAGCCGGAUCUGCUGAAAGGCUCCGUGCUAUCGCUGAAAUCACAGCAGACGCAGCAGCGGAAAAGCAGCACCAGCUCUGUCAGCUUAUCCCGACCUUUCAUCGUAGACUCCAAAGCCAGAUACAACGUAAGUCAAGUCACAAGAUUCAUCGGCAACAGUUGUUAUAAUAAAGCGUUGCCAUUAACGGAUUUUAAUUCCGAAUAAAAAGUCU
This 1473-nucleotide long non-coding RNA is filed under the name Bemisia tabaci. RNAcentral describes it as "lncRNA ENSSSA3NGG002237". The record is from RNAcentral. Lineage: Eukaryota; Metazoa; Arthropoda; Insecta; Hemiptera; Aleyrodidae.